GGACCAUCCAGUUUCAGGAAAACAAGCUUAACACGCCCACUGAUUCUACAUUAUGAUUCUUCAGGCCCAGCGUCUGCCUCACUGUGGACCCCCCAAGCCAAGCUCCCAACCUUUCAGCAGCUUCUACACACCCAGCUCCCGCCUGCCAGUGGCCUCUUCAGGCCCAUGGUGCUCAUUCCUCACAACAGCCUUUCCAGUCCCAGUUUUUCCCUUCCGGCGGCCUCUCCGGGCUGAGAACCUCCUCAAGUCGGCCUCUCCAGACCCACUUGCACCCUCCAGGCGUCCUCUCCGGGCCAAGCUCCUCUUCCUGGCUGUGUCUCCAGGCCCGACUCCUGCCUCUCAACAACGUCUUUGGACUCAGUGCCUACCCAUCUCCUGGCGUCCUUGGUCGGCCCACAGCUUCCUCAAGCCAAGCUCCCCAGGCCCAGGUCAGGCCUCACGGUGCCCCCUCCACGAUGAGCUCCUGCCCUCCAAUGGCACCUGCAGGCCCCAAAUGGUCUCCGGUCGGUGGGCUCCUCCACGCCAAGCUUGGGCCUCCCGGUGACCUCUGCAGGCCCAAGUUGUCCUGAAGUCAGCAUCUCCCAGCCGUGCCUCCCAGCAAGUAAGCAAGCUCUUUUGGCUCAACUCCUGCCCAGCUCCCAACCGCCUUUGUAGGUCCCGAACUUUCUCCAGCCAAGUUCUUUGGGCCUCAUUCCUGCCGCCCGGUGGCCUGUACGGGCCCAGCAAUGGUUGGAGAACGGCCUCUGCAGGUCCCGCUCUUGCCUCCCAGGGGCCUCUCCAGGCCCAGCUCUCGCCCCCACGGCGGCCACCCGGGGCCAAGUCCCUGCCUGCCUCCCAGCAGCCCGCAUGCGGCCCAGCUCCUCCCUCACGGUGGCCUGUUGAUGCCCAUGCCUCUGGUACCCUGCCCAGAGGCAUGAGCCCCUGCCACACACUGGCUCCUCCCACGCUGAGAGAGGUCAGCGUGAGCCCUUGCCUCACACCGGCCCCUCCCACGCUGAGAGAGGUCAGCGUGAGCCCCUUGCCUCACAUCGGCCCCUCCCACGCUGAGAGAGGUCGGCGUGAGCCCUUGACUCACACCGGCCCCUCCCACGGUGAGAGAGGUCAGCGUCACCCCCUUACCUCACACCGGCCCCUCCCACGCUGAGAGAGGUCGGCGUGAGCCCUUGCCUCACACCGGCCCCUCCCAUGGUGAGAGAGGUCAGCGUCAGCCUCUUGCCUCACACCGGCCCCUCCCACGCUGAGAGAGGUCGGCGUGAGCCCCUUGCCUCACACCCGCCCCUCCCACGCUGAGAGAGGUCGGCGUGAGCCCCUUGCCUCACACCGGCCCCUCCCACGCUGAGAGAGGUCGGCGUGAGCCCUUGCCUCACACCGGCCCCUCCCACGCUGAGAGAGGUCAUCGUCAGCCCCUUGCCUCACACCGGCCCCUCCCACGCUGAGAGAGGUCGGUGUGAGCCCUUGCCUCACACCGGCCCCUCCCACGGUGAGAGAGGUCGGCGUCAGCCCCUUGCCUCACACCGGCCCCUCCCACGCUGAGAGAGGUCGGUGUGAGCCCUUGCCUCACACCGGCCCCUCCCACGGUGAGAGAGGUCGGCGUCAGCCCCUUGCCUCACACCGGCCCCUCCCACGCUGAGAGAGGUCAGUGUGAGCCCUUGCCUCACACCGGCCCCUCCCACGCUGAGAGAGGUCAGCGUGAGCCCCUUGCCUCACACCGGCCCCUCCCACGCUGAGAGAGGUCAGUGUGAGCCCUUGCCUCACACCGGCCCCUCCCACGGUGAGAGAGGUCGGCGUCAGCCCCUUGCCUCACACCGGCCCCUCCCACGCUGAGAGAGGUCGGCGUGAGCCCUUGCCUCACACCGGCCCCUCCCACGCUGAGAGAGGUCAGCGUGACCCCCUGCCUCAACAGGCCACCGUGAGGGAGGAGCAGGGUCGCACGCGGGCUGCUGUGAGGCAGGCAGCGACUUGGGCCUGGGAGGUCGUGGUGGGGUGAGAGCUGGGCUUGGAGACUCCCCUGGGAGGCAACAGCGGGGCCUACAGACUCUGUUCUCCAGCCGGAGCUGGGACUGUUCAGGUACUGGGAGGUGGGAUGUGGGUCUGAAGAGCUUGGUUGCAGAAACUUCGGGGUCUACAAACGCAGGCGGGAGCUGAGCCAAAAAAGGUUGUUUGCUGGGAGGCGGGAGAUGCAGCCAGGAGAAACAGCUCUGCCUGCAGAGGCCGCCAUGCGGGAGGCGGAGGCCGGGCCUCCUCAAAUCGGCCUCUCCAGACCCACUUGCAGCCUCCCGGCAUCCUCUCCGGGCCCAGCUCUUCCUCCCGGCUGCGUCUCCAGGCCUGACUCUGGCCUCCCAACAACGUCUUUGGACUCAGCUCCUGCCCAGCUCCCAGCAGGCCCAAGUCGUCGUCAAGUCGGCCUGGAAUUGGGCCCGGAAGAGCAGCAAGUCGGCCUCCCCGGGCCCAGCUCCGUCCUCUCGGCGGCCUCUCCAGGUGCAAAACUUCCUCGAGUCAGCCUCUCCAGGCCCCGCUCCUCCUGCCUCCCAGUGGCCUCUUUCAGCCCAGACCAGCUCAUGGCUCUUGGCGGCCUUCCCAGGCCCCGCUUUUGACUUUUGGUGGCCUCUUCAGGCCCAGAACUUGACCUCCAGUGGGCCUUUGCAGGCCCGGCCUCCUGCCUCUCGAAGGCCUGCACGGGCCCGGACUCACAGCGGACUCACAGCGGACUCUCCAUGCCCAGCUAGCUCUCGCCUCAUUGCGGCCUCCCGAGUCCAAAGCUCCUGCCUCUCGGCCGCUUCGGCAGGCCCAGCUCCCGCCUGCCAGUGGCCUCUUUAGGCCCAGCUCAUUCCUCACAACGGCCUUCCCAGGCCCCGUUUUUCCCUUCCGGCAGCCUCUUGGCCUCUAAUUUGUUUAUCUUUUGUGUAUAAAUCCCAAAAUAUUGAAUUUUGGAAUAUUUCCACCAUUAUGUAAA
This is a long non-coding RNA of Gorilla gorilla gorilla (western lowland gorilla), 2953 nucleotides long. RefSeq lists it as uncharacterized. The transcript has 3 exons. NCBI's taxonomy places the organism in Eukaryota, Metazoa, Chordata, Mammalia, Primates, Hominidae. The record is from RefSeq and is a predicted model, not a curated record.